RNAcentral lists this ribosomal RNA (253 nucleotides) under uncultured bacterium. RNAcentral describes it as "partial 16S ribosomal RNA". It matches the Rfam family "Bacterial small subunit ribosomal RNA", at positions 524 to 776 of the family's 1533-position model. The record is from RNAcentral.
GACAGAGGUGCCGAGCGUUAGGCGGAAUCACUGGGCUUAAAGCGUGUGUAGGCGGACUUCUAAGUGCCUUGUGAAAUCCCACGGCUCAACCGUGGAACUGCUGGGCAUACUGGGAGUCUUGAGCCACUUAGGGGCUGUCGGAACAGACGGUGGAGCGGUGAAAUGCGUAGAUAUCGUCUGGAACGCCAACGGUGAAAACAGACAGCUGGGAGUGUGCUGACGCUGAGACACGAAAGCCAGGGGAGCGAACGGG